CUGCAAAACCCAGGGCGCGAGCCCGGGCGGAGCGGUCGUCGGUGCAGAUCUUGGUGGUAGUAGCAAAUACUCAAAUGAGAACUUUGAGGACUGAAGUGGGGAAAGGUUCCAUGUGAACAGCAGUUGGACAUGGGUAAGUCGAUCCUAAGACAUAGGGAAACUCCGUUUUAAAGUGCGCAUUACGCGCCGCCCGUCGAAAGGGAAGCCGGUUAAAAUUCCGGCACCUGGAUGAGGAUUCUCCACGGCAACGUAACUGAACUCGGAGACGUCGGCGGGGGCCCUGGGAAG
RNAcentral lists this ribosomal RNA (288 nucleotides) under Pseudoalteromonas sp. NZS127_1. RNAcentral's name for it is "partial 23S ribosomal RNA". It matches the Rfam family "Eukaryotic large subunit ribosomal RNA", at positions 1401 to 1687 of the family's 3401-position model. Lineage: Bacteria; Pseudomonadati; Pseudomonadota; Gammaproteobacteria; Alteromonadales; Pseudoalteromonadaceae. The record is from RNAcentral.